RNAcentral lists this ribosomal RNA (611 nucleotides) under uncultured bacterium. RNAcentral's name for it is "bacterial SSU rRNA". It matches the Rfam family "Bacterial small subunit ribosomal RNA", at positions 331 to 934 of the family's 1533-position model. The record is from RNAcentral.
CCAGACUCCUACGGGAGGCAGCAGUAGGGAAUCUUCGGCAAUGGACGAAAGUCUGACCGAGCAACGCCGCGUGAGUGAAGAAGGUUUUCGGAUCGUAAAACUCUGUUGGUAGAGAAGAACGUUGGUGAGAGUGGAAAGCUCAUCAAGUGACGGUAACUACCCAGAAAGGGACGGCUAACUACGUGCCAGCGGCCGCGGUAAUACGUAGGUCCCGAGCGUUGUCCGGAUUUAUUGGGCGUAAAGCGAGCGCAGGUGGUUUAUUAAGUCUGGUGUAAAAGGCAGUGGCUCAACCAUUGUAUGCAUUGGAAACUGGUAGACUUGAGUGCAGGAGAGGAGAGUGGAAUUCCAUGUGUAGCGGUGAAAUGCGUAGAUAUAUGGAGGAACACCGGUGGCGAAAGCGGCUCUCUGGCCUGUAACUGACACUGAGGCUCGAAAGCGUGGGGAGCAAACAGGAUUAGAUACCCUGGUAGUCCACGCCGUAAACGAUGAGUGCUAGAUGUAGGGAGCUAUAAGUUCUCUGUAUCGCAGCUAACGCAAUAAGCACUCCGCCUGGGGAGUACGACCGCAAGGUUGAAACUCAAAGGAAUUGACGGGGGCCCGCACGAGAAGGG